CCGUCGGGAGUUCGCUGCAACACAUCGACGGCUUCCGCAUCUUCUCAGGCCAAGGUUUUUGUCCCGCGAGAAUGGAAUCUCUAUUUGUAGGCUUGUCUUAUAACAAGCCAAAAAAAUCGGUGGCAACCGCAAUAGUUCGAGAAGACUAUAUUUGCACGCAAGGUGAUCUUGCUCUCAUCGAUUUUAUCAAGGAAAUCCCUUGUGAACCAAGGGUAGAAGUCGUUCUUAUUGAUGAUGCCUUUGUUGAAAGGAAGUGGAUGGAGUGUUUAUUUCAGCCGAGCGCAUAUCUAGGUGACGAGGUUAUAGACUGUUACAUAAAUUUGAUAAAAGCUCAAAAGCAUCUAAAGUGCCGAUCUGGAGGUCGCGUUCACAUAGAAAAUGCUUUCCAGUUCAAUUUCCUGAAGCGAGAUGGUGAUCUUGAAAUUAAAACAGAGGAGCUAUAUCCAAUUAAAGACAUGGCACACAUAUGUAGCGCUGAACGAAGGGUGUUACUUUACCUAGACCAUGACAU
This 511-nucleotide unclassified non-coding RNA is filed under the name Zea mays. RNAcentral's name for it is "misc RNA Zm00001eb009180". Lineage: Eukaryota; Viridiplantae; Streptophyta; Magnoliopsida; Poales; Poaceae. The record is from RNAcentral.